Molecule: ribosomal RNA, 447 nt
Filed under: uncultured bacterium
Lineage: Bacteria
Description: partial 16S ribosomal RNA
Rfam family: Bacterial small subunit ribosomal RNA
Source: RNAcentral
CCCAGACUCCUACGGGAGGCAGCAGUGGGGAAUAUUGGGCAAUGGGCGCAAGCCUGACCCAGCAAUGCCGCGUGAAGGAAGAAGGCUUUCGGGUUGUAAACUUCUUUGACAGGGGAAGAGCAGAAGACGGUACCCUGAAAACAAGCCACGGCUAACUACGUGCCAGCGGCCGCGGUAAUACGUAGGUGGCAAGCGUUGUCCGGAUUUACUGGGUGUAAAGGGCGUGUAGCCGGGAAGGCAAGUCAGAUGUGAAAUCUGGAGGCUCAACCUCCAAAUUGCAUUUGAAACUGUUUUUCUUGAGUACUGGAGAGGCAGACGGAAUUCCUUGUGUAGCGGUGAAAUGCGUAGAUAUAAGGAGGAACACCAGUGGCGAAGGCGGCCUGCUGGACAUUAACUGACGCUGAGGCGCGAAAGCGUGGGGAGCAAACAGGAUUAGAUACCCCGGUA